RNAcentral lists this ribosomal RNA (1356 nucleotides) under Pediococcus pentosaceus. Its description in RNAcentral is "bacterial SSU rRNA". It matches the Rfam family "Bacterial small subunit ribosomal RNA", at positions 66 to 1412 of the family's 1533-position model. The record is from RNAcentral. Lineage: Bacteria; Bacillati; Bacillota; Bacilli; Lactobacillales; Lactobacillaceae.
ACUGAAUGAGAUUUUAACACGAAGUGAGUGGCGGACGGGUGAGUAACACGUGGGUAACCUGCCCAGAAGCAGGGGAUAACACCUGGAAACAGAUGCUAAUACCGUAUAACAGAGAAAACCGCCUGGUUUUCUUUUAAAAGAUGGCUCUGCUAUCACUUCUGGAUGGACCCGCGGCGCAUUAGCUAGUUGGUGAGGUAACGGCUCACCAAGGCGAUGAUGCGUAGCCGACCUGAGAGGGUAAUCGGCCACAUUGGGACUGAGACACGGCCCAGACUCCUACGGGAGGCAGCAGUAGGGAAUCUUCCACAAUGGACGCAAGUCUGAUGGAGCAACGCCGCGUGAGUGAAGAAGGGUUUCGGCUCGUAAAGCUCUGUUGUUAAAGAAGAACGUGGGUGAGAGUAACUGUUCACCCAGUGACGGUAUUUAACCAGAAAGCCACGGCUAACUACGUGCCAGCAGCCGCGGUAAUACGUAGGUGGCAAGCGUUAUCCGGAUUUAUUGGGCGUAAAGCGAGCGCAGGCGGUCUUUUAAGUCUAAUGUGAAAGCCUUCGGCUCAACCGAAGAAGUGCAUUGGAAACUGGGAGACUUGAGUGCAGAAGAGGACAGUGGAACUCCAUGUGUAGCGGUGAAAUGCGUAGAUAUAUGGAAGAACACCAGUGGCGAAGGCGGCUGUCUGGUCUGUAACUGACGCUGAGGCUCGAAAGCAUGGGUAGCGAACAGGAUUAGAUACCUGGUAGUCCAUGCCGUAAACGAUGAUUACUAAGUGUUGGAGGGUUUCCGCCCUUUCAGUGCUGCAGCUAACGCAUUAAGUAAUCCGCCUGGGGAGUACGACCGCAAGGUUGAAACUCAAAAGAAUUGACGGGGGCCCGCACAAGCGGUGGAGCAUGUGGUUUAAUUCGAAGCUACGCGAAGAACCUUACCAGGUCUUGACAUCUUCUGCCAACCUAAGAGAUUAGGCGUUCCCUUCGGGGACAGAAUGACAGGUGGUGCAUGGUUGUCGUCAGCUCGUGUCGUGAGAUGUUGGGUUAAGUCCCGCAACGAGCGCAACCCUUAUUACUAGUUGCCAGCAUUCAGUUGGGCACUCUAGUGAGACUGCCGGUGACAAACCGGAGGAAGGUGGGGACGACGUCAAAUCAUCAUGCCCCUUAUGACCUGGGCUACACACGUGCUACAAUGGAUGGUACAACGAGUCGCGAAACCGCGAGGUUUAGCUAAUCUCUUAAAACCAUUCUCAGUUCGGACUGUAGGCUGCAACUCGCCUACACGAAGUCGGAAUCGCUAGUAAUCGCGGAUCAGCAUGCCGCGGUGAAUACGUUCCCGGGCCUUGUACACACCGCCCGUCACACCAUGAGAGUU